UUGUGCCAGCAGCCGCGGUAAUACAGAGGGUGCGAGCGUUAAUCGGAAUUACUGGGCGUAAAGCGAGCGUAGGUGGCUUGAUAAGUCAGAUGUGAAAUCCCCGGGCUUAACCUGGGAACUGCAUCUGAUACUGUUAGGCUAGAGUAGGUGAGAGGGAGGUAGAAUUUCAGGUGUAGCGGUGAAAUGCGUAGAGAUCUGAAGGAAUACCGAUGGCGAAGGCAGCCUCCUGGCAUCAUACUGACACUGAGGUUCGAAAGCGUGGGUAGCAAACAGGAUUAGAUACCCUGGUAGUCCACGCCGUAAACGAUGUCUACUAGUCGUUGGGGAACUUGAUUCCUUAGUGACGCAGCUAACGCAAUAAGUAGACCGCCUGGGGGAGUACGGCCGCAAGGUUAAAACUCAAAUGAAUUGACGGGGGCCCGCACAAGCGGUGGAGCAUGUGGUUUAAUUCGAUGCAACGCGAAGAACCUUACCUGGUCUUGACAUAUCUAGAAUCCUGCAGAGAUGCGGGAGUGCCUUCGGGAAUUAGAAUACAGGUGCUGCAUGGCUGUCGUCAGCUCGUGUCGUGAGAUGUUGGGUUAAGUCCCGCAACGAGCGCAACCCUUUUCCUUAGUUACCAGCGGUUUGGCCGGGGACUCUAAGGAUACUGCCAGUGACAAACUGGAGGAAGGCGGGGACGACGUCAAGUCAUCAUGGCCCUUACGACCAGGGCUACACACGUGCUACAAUGGUAGGUACAGAGGGGCUGCUACACAGCGAUGUGAUGCGAAUCUCAAAAAGCCUAUCGUAGUCCAGAUUGGAAGUCUGCAACUCGACUCCAUUGAAGUCGGAAUCGCUAGUUAAUCGCGGGAUCAGAAUGCCGCGGUGAAUACGUUCCCGGGCCUUGUACACACCGCCCGUCACACCAUGGGAGUUGAUUGCACCAGAAGUGGGUAGCCUAACUUUUAGAGGGCGCUCACCACGGUGUGGUUG
Molecule: ribosomal RNA, 972 nt
Filed under: uncultured bacterium
Lineage: Bacteria
Description: bacterial SSU rRNA
Rfam family: Bacterial small subunit ribosomal RNA
Source: RNAcentral